This 55-nucleotide transfer RNA is filed under the name Cordylochernes scorpioides. RNAcentral describes it as "tRNA-OTHER". The record is from RNAcentral. Lineage: Eukaryota; Metazoa; Arthropoda; Arachnida; Pseudoscorpiones; Chernetidae.
UGCAUCGGCCGGGAAUCGAACCCAGGCGAGCAUUCUACCACUGAACCACCGAUGC